This 486-nucleotide long non-coding RNA is filed under the name Lathyrus oleraceus (garden pea). RNAcentral describes it as "Pisum sativum (pea) long non-coding RNA (PSAT_LNC022226)". The record is from RNAcentral. Lineage: Eukaryota; Viridiplantae; Streptophyta; Magnoliopsida; Fabales; Fabaceae.
UUAAGCGCCUAUCCCUUGAUCCCCUGGUCAACGUUGACUCAACUUUGGGCCUCAGUGCCUUGGGCUUUUAUUUCUACUUGUUGGACCCCCUAAUUCCAUUUUGCACCCCCUAUUUUUUUAUUUUUUUUAUUUUCAAUGGUUUUUAUUUCUGAUUUUUAUUUUCUUUUUUAUAUUAAAUUUUGACUUUAUUUGAAAUCAAUUUUAAUUUUUCAAAAUAGUAUUUGAUAUUAUUUUUGAAAGUUUAUUUGAUUUUGUUUUAUAUUUUAAUUGAUUUUAAUUUUGCAAUUUAAUUUCAUGUUAUUUUUGCAAGUUAAUUUUGAUUUUCACGAAAAUGGGCCAGAAAAAGGGGUGGAGAAAUCAUAUGAGACACGACCUGGUCCACAAACAAAACAGAAAAAUAAAAAAUGAAAUAAAAUGGACAUGUCACGCUAAAAGGUAAGGAAGGAAGUGUGGCAUGCGUGUGAAAAAGUCAUGUUGUAAACAAAU